GAUCCGCCGUUUUCCUAUCUUCAGCAAAGGGAACUCACACAAAACCUAGGCUUCAUCAUCUUCCUCAAAUAAAACCCUAGAGGACCCCAAUCUUGAAGACCAAGAAACCAUUUCCAUGGUUUUCGGCUGAACCAAAACAACACCUCAAGCCCAUCAGCGAUCCCCACUAGCCCCACCCAUCUCCAGAUCUCUCUCUCACAAGGGGAAGCAGCCCGUCGCCCUCACCAAGCUCACUCUUAUCACCAUCGUUUCCACCUUCAACCAAACCGGCCACCACGCACAGAACCCUCCUCCGCACGAUCGCAGAACAUCUUCAAACCAUCGUCUUCAAAUCUGAUUGUGGACCACCAUCCUUCAGCUUCCUCCCUUAAUAGCUGCAUCUCUCUUGUUUUUUUGGGUCUCAUCGCCAUCGCCAGCGGGUCCUCAGCAAUGUCUAUUUCCAUUUAAUGCUAGUCGUUUCAAGCUGCCCUGUUAUUGACUUGAGGUUUAAAGAUGCCAUACUACGAAUAUAAGAAAUGGUCGUGAUUUCAUGGGGGAUUUUGUCAAUUAAUAUGGUCGCUGGUGAGGUUCUGUUUAAUGGUUCUGGUCCCGUUUGAGAUUUCCGACGAGACAUUCCAAUAUUGAUCUUGUCCGUGGUUUUGAAAUUUCAGAUUUUGCUACUGAGGUCCAAUUCUCUACCUUGUUGCCUUAAUAUUUUUAUCUAUUGGAAUGAAAAUGGCAUGGAUUUCCUAUGAACUGUGUGUUAUUUUGUUGAAUUGCUUGUGACUAUACCAUCGAUAUUAUUACCUAUUAGAAUUGUUGUUGCAUGUUUGUUUAAUCUCUGGUUCUUACUAGUUUGCUAAGAGUAUCAGAUCUUCACUUUACUAAAUUUGUUUCAUCUUGAGCACAAUACUUUUAAAGGUGUUAGUAAUUCUCAAAUAUGUUUCCUUUGUAAAUUCGUUGACUUCGUUGGUGAGUUAUGGAUUGAAAUUGUUCCUUCUGUUGCUUUUCGAGGUUUUAAUUAUAUUCCGUUGUUGUACAUAUUGUGAAAAAAUUGGUUUGGCUUAAACUAAUCAGAAAAUAGCUUGACUGUAGGAGUAAUUGGAGCUAAAAGGACACAAGCAUUAAAAUCCUUAGAGAUCGAGGUGCGCUCGCGUGACAUGAUUAUGAUUCUAAAAAAACCGGAGUAUACGUUCGCGCAACCUCGGCUAAAUUUUUCUUAAUAAUAAUAAAGUGUUAUUAAUUAUGGACACGUUCGCAUGACACAAUUUUUGACACGCCGAACAAACAGGUACACGUACGGUGACCAGUUUCUAGAUAAUUUUUAAUCAAAAGGGGGAAAAUGCACAUAGGUCCUAAAAAUGAGUAAUUACACAUUUUGAUUAAGCCAAGUAUGAUCAAAGCGACCAUGCUAGAUACACGGAACCCGGGAAUGCCUAGCACCUUCUCCCAGGUUAACAGAAUUCCUUACCCAGAUUUUUGUGUUCGUAGACCUUAAUUGAGAGUCAAUUUCCUCGAUUCGGGAUUCUAAACCGGUGACUUGGGACACCAUAAAUUAUCCCAAGUGGCGACUCUGAAUUUUAAUAACAAAUAAUCCCAUUUCGAUUGUCACUUUAAGUUGGAAAAAACUCCCUUAUACUCAUUUCCCUUUCGGGUGGAGGUAAAAAAGAGGUAUGACAUCAUGUUAUGGCGGUAACUACAAGAAGUGGACGAGGCGGUGAUGUGAAUGCCUCCAAACAAAAAGAAAUUUUGAGUGAUGAAGUUGAAUUGCAAGAAGAUGAGAUUCCUUUGGUGGUUGAAAAUAUGAUUGAUGAGAAUGUGAAUGAGGACAUGAGGAUUGAUAUCCAAGAUAUUGAGGUGGAAACUCAAAAUGAUGUGAACUCGUCUAGGGAACACGUAAUAGACAUGCCAAAACCUGUUGUGCCUAAAACCAAGGCUCCUUUGCCAAGGCCACCUCUACCUUAUCCUCAAAGGCUCGUUAAGCAGAAAAAUGAGAAUCAGUUUAAGAAGUUUAUUGACAUGAUGAAGAGCUUAUCCAUUAAUGUGCCUUUGGUGGAGGCUUUAGAGAAAAUGCCGAGUUAUGUUAAAUUCAUGAAGGACUUGGUGACAAAGAAAAGAUCCAUAGAUUGUGAAACUAUCAAGAUGACCCACAAAGUUAGUGCAAUAGUGCACUCAUGGCCCCGAAGCUAUAAGAUCCCGGUGCUUUCACCAUUCCUUGCACCAUUGGGAGUGUGGACUUUGCAAAAGCUCUAUGUGAUUUGGGGGCAAGUAUCAACUUGAUUGCCUACUCAGUUUUCAAGACUUUGGGUAUUGGGCAACCAAGGCCGACUUUCAUGAGAUUGCAAAUGGCGGAUAGAACUAUGAAGAGACCAUUGGGUAUUAUUGAUGAUGUUCUUGUUCGGGUGGACAAAUUUAUCUUGCCAGCUGACUUUGUAAUCUUGGAUUGUGAGGUAGAUUAUGAGAUUCCAAUCAUAUUGGGAAGACCUUUCCUUGCUACUGUGAAGGCCUUAGUUGAUGUGGAAGUAGGGGAACUCACCUUCUGGGUGGGUGAUAAGAAAGUGGUCUUUUAUAUCUGCAAGUCAAUGAAGCAGCCCAACAGUUCUGAAGAUAGUUGAUGAUACCAGUGUAAUGAUCAAUGUGGAGGACCUUCUAGAAGAAAUUUUGUUGAAUUUUGUAAAUGAGGAUGAUGGCCGAGUGGAGUGCGUGAAUGCCUUACAUGGAAUGGGCUCUUAUUCUUAUGAGCCUAGGAAACUCUCUUUGGAUAUUGAGAAUAGGAAGACUACACCAACAAAACCUUCAAUCGAGGAACCCCUAGUGUUGGAGUUGAUAUCGUUGCCUCCACACCUCAUGUAUGAAUUCUUAGGCCCUAGUUCAACUUUGCCAGUUAUUAUUUCCUCUUGUCUUACUAACAUGCAGGUUGAUGACACAUUGGCGGUGCUUCAAAAGCAUAAGAAGACAAUUGGAUGGACCUUAGAUGAUAUUCGAGGGAUAAGCCCUGCAUUCUGUAUGCACAAUAUUAUUCUGGAAGAUGAUGCAAAGCCCUUCUUGGAAUAUCAAAGGAGGUUGAACGAGGCAAUGCAAGAAGUUAUAAAAAAGGAGGUGAUCAAGUGGUUGGAUGCCGGGGUUGUGUACCCCAUCUCUGAUAGCUUUUGGACUUCGCCGGUGUAAAUGUGUGCCGAAGAAGGGUGGUAUGAUCGUGGUUAUAAAUUCGCAGGAUGAGUUGAUUCCAACAAGAACUGUCACCGGGUGGAGGGUAUGCAUGGACUACCGCAAGUUGAAUAAAUUGACCUGCAAGGAUCACUUUCCAUUGCCUUUUCUUGAUCAGAUGUUAGAUCGACUUGCUGGGCGUGCCUUCUACUGCUUCUUGGAUGGGUAUUCUGGGUACAACCAAAUUUUGAUUGCUCCGGAAGAUCAGGAUAAGACCACCUUCACUUGUCCAUAUGACACCUUUGCCUUUUCUAGGAUGCCAUUUGGGUUGUGUAAUGCACCGGCUACAUUUCAGUAGUGUAUGAUGGCCAUUUUCACCGAUACGGUGGAAGAUAUUUUGGUGGUGUUCAUGGAUGACUUUAGUGUUAUGGGUGAAUUGUUUGAUGAAUGUUUAAGAAAUCUUGAUAGAGUGUUGGACCGUUGUGAAGAAACCAAUCUUGUUAUUAAUUGGGAGAAAUGCCAUUUCAUGGUUGAGGAGGCCAUAGUUCUUGGGCAUAAAAUUUCAAAGCAUGGUAUAGAUGUGGAAAAAGCAAAAAUAGAUGUGAUUUCAAAGCUCCCUCCCCCUACUUCUGUCAAGGGAGUUAGAAGUUUUCUUGGGCAUGCGGGGUUCUACCGGAGAUUUAUCAAAGACUUUUCGAAGGUAGUAAAUCCCUUGUGCAAGUUAUUGGAAAAAGAUGCCAAGUUCGUGUUCGAUGAGAGAUGUAUGCAAGCUUUUGAACUUCUCAACCACAAGUUGACCACCACUCCUAUUAUUAUCGCACCCAAUUGGAGCUUGCCUUUCGAGCUUAUAUGUGAUGCGAGCGAUGUUGCGGUUGGGGCGGUCUUGGGUCAAAGAGUGAACAAAAGUUUUCAUCCGAUGUACUAUGCGAGCAAGACAAUGAAUGAUGCUCAAGUGAACUACAGGUGGCUGAGAAAGAGCUUUUGGCUAUUGUGUUCGCGAUGGAGAAAUUUCGACCAUAUCUCAUGGGUGCCAAGGUCAUAGUUCACACCGAUCAUGUCGCACUCUGGUACUUGAUGAUGAAGAAGGAUUCCAAAGCUAAAAUGAUGCGAUGGGUCUUGUUACUUCAAGAGUUUGAUUUGGAGAUUGUGGACCAGAAGGGUAGUGAAAACCAAGUGGCGGACCACUUGUCUCGGUUGGAGGAGGAGGGGAGGCCUCGUGAUGGCGUAGAGAUCAAUGAUUCAUUUUCCGAUGAGCAACUCCUUUCUGUAUCGCUGAAUGGUAUGCCAUGGUUUGCGGACGUUGCUAAUUUCCUUGUGACUGGUAUAAUCCUGUGUGAGCUCUCUUCUAACCAAAGGAAGAAGCUCAAACGGGAUAGUUUGGACUUCUAUUGGGAUGAGCCGUACUUGUUCAAGUUCUGCACGGAUGGUGUGAUCCGAAGGUGUGUCUCGGAGGAGGAACAAUUAAGUAUCUUAGAGGCUUGUCAUUCGUCUCCCUAUCGUGGCCAUCAUGGCGGGGCGAGGACGGCUUCCAAAGUUCUUAGUUGUGGGUUUUAUUGGCCAACAUUGUACAAAGAUGCAAGUGAACUUGUGAAGAGAUGUGACGAAUGUCAAACAGCGGAUGGAAUUUCAAAGAAAGAAGAGAUGCCUCUCAAUACCAUUCUUGAAUUUGAAAUUUUUGAUGUAUGGGGCAUUGAUUUUAUGGACCCUUUUGUUAGCUCGUAUGGGAACACAUACAUUCUUGUGGUGGUUUACUAUGUUUCAAAGUGGGUUGAAGUCGUGGCUUUACCCAACAAUGAGGCCCGGAGUGCUAUUACAUUUCUCGAGAAGAGCAUUUUUACAAGGUUUGGCACUCCUCGUGCAAUCAUAAGUGAUGGGGGGUCUCAUUUUUGUAAUAGAGCUUUUGACACUUUGCUUGCAAAGUAUGGUGUCAAUCACAAAGUUUCUACUCCUUAUCAUCCUCAGGUGAGUGGGCAAGUUCAAGUCUCAAACAGGGAAAUCAAGAGUAUAUUGUCAAAGACGAUCAAUGCAAAUAGAACUGAUUGGCCAAAGAAGUUGGAUGAUGCUCUAUGAGCUUAUAGGACUACUUAUUGACUACGAUUGGUAUGUCUCUAUAUCAGUUGGUGUUUGGGAAAGCUUGCCUUCUACCGGUUGAGUUAGAUCACAAGUCUAUGUGGGCUUUGAGGAAGCUGAAUCUUGAAUGGGAUAUGGCAGCAAAUCUUCGUUUGGAGCAGCUUAAUAAACUUGAUGAAUUCCGAUUCCAUGCCUACUCCAAUUCAUCCUUGUACAAGGACAAGAUGAAGUACCUUCAUGAUAAAUAUGCUCGUAACAAGGAGUUCAAAGUGGGUGAUUUGGUUCUCUUGUUCAAUUCUCGGUUACGUCUGUUUUCGGGAAAGUUUAAGUCGAAAUGGAGUGGACCUUUUGAAGUGGUGUUUGUUACUCCGUUUGGUGCACUUGACUUGAAGAACAAAAAUGGGGAGAUUUUCAGAGUUAAUGGGCACAGGGUCAAGCACUACUUGGGAAAAAUUGAUGACAGUCACGUGGUGGCACUACUCCAUCUAAAGUGAUUUGAUAGUAACCUGCGGCGUGCCACGACGUUAAAUCAGGAGCUUCUUGGGAGGAAACCCAUAUGUCUUUCUUUUUGUUUUUGUUUUUUUUAUUUUCUUUGUAGUAUAGGAUUUGCUUUUGGACUAACUGGUUGUGAGAUGUGUGUAGGAUUAUUUUGAUGCAGUGCAGGACCAAGUUGGGAAAAAUGUGCACUCUCUGAAGUUUGCACUGCGGCCGCAUUGCAUUUCUUGUGGCCUCAAUAGCCUCAGUGCGGGGGAAACAUUUCAAUGCGAUCCACAUAGUUGAUUGGUCAAAAAAUGGGGUUCUCUGAAGUUUUCCACCACGGCCGCAGCAAUGCAAUUUGUGCGGUCCGCGGUGGACCACUGCGGUCGCACAACAUUUCUUGCGGUCUUCUAUGGAAGUCUCCCCAGUGCCUCAUAUUUCUGAUUACCGCAGACCGCGGUCCCAUUUUUUGCGAUCCGUGGUGGGUAGGUGUAGUGGGUCCCAGGUUCUUUUUCUAUAAAUAGGACCUCAGGACCUCAUUUCAAACUUUUCGAUCCUUUGCUCUCAAUAGUAAAAAAAGUAUAGUUCAUCACGCCUAGCUGUACGAAUUUAAUUGCUGAGUAUCAUUCAUCUACAUUGCAUCUCAUUUAUGGUACUUUUAAUCUUUCCCAAGAUUUUAAAUGUGUUUUAUUUUCUUUUUUAAAUAGUUAGUUCUACGAUUCUUCUUCCCUUUUUCUUUAAUUUUCUAGGUUAGGGUUUCAUAAGUUUUUUAGAUUAGGACUAAAUAGUUAAAAAUACUGAUUGAUCACCUAGGGGAUCAAUAGUAGGUAAAAAAUAGACUAAAAAUAUGAAGAAAUUUGAAACCCUUGGUUGGUGUAGCUGGUAUAACUUACAACGGUCCAUGGUGGAUUUAUUAUGGUCUGCGGUGCUUCUCCGCAGUCCGUAAUGACAUUUUGUGCGGACCGUGGUGGUGAAACUUCUGAAAGUUGAGAAUUGAGAACCGCAGUCGCGAUGGAUUUUCUAUGGUCCAUGGUGCCUUAAUGCGGACCGCGGUACCAUUUUGUGCGGUCCGCAGUGGACUUUAUCAGAGAGUGGAUAGUCUGACCCCCACCUCAAUGCGGACCGCGAUGCUAUUUUGUGCAGUCCGCGGUGGUCCCUUUGCGGCCGCACUGCAUUUUGUGUGGUCCGCAGUUUGCAACUAUUUUCUUUUGUAUCUGCAAUUGUUUUCCUUUUUUAUUCUUCUGAUACUGUGAUACUAACAAGCUUCAACUGAAUUCCACUUAUAGACAAUGGUUCAAUCACGAGGCGGUGGUAGAAAAUAACAGGGAAAAGGAGAGUCCUCUCGAGGUAGAGGACAAGGCAUGAUAAAAUUGACUCCCAAUUCCGGCAAGCUAUCAAAAAUACCAGGAAGAUAAUAAGGACUGCUGAUAGAGUUGUUUCCCAUUCGGCGAGUGAGUAUGUGCCCUCCUAGGAAGCGUCCAACUUAGACUCCGUGCCAGAAUAUGUUCCUGACUGGCCGGAGAGGCACAAAUUGAGAGAUACACCUCCAAGCUCUCCUACUGCCCAAAUGUCAGUGCAAAUUUCUUCUGAGUCGUCUCAGGGUUUAGCUGCGGGAAGUGACAGUGCCUCUUCUACCUCACCUACAUCUUCAAUACCCGGUAAGGAUCCCGUAAAAGAAGAAGGAGGGGGUGAGCCCCAACUAGGAGGAGUAAAGAGAACUAGGAAACCGGAAUCAUGGCAAUAUAGGUUUGUGAGUAAAGUGGCCUACCACAAGUUCGGAGAAUGGUGGCCCGAGAGGAAGUUGAUACCUGAGCGGAAAUUUAUUACAAAGGACCUUUUGCCUCACAACCCCAAUGUGCUGAGGCAACUCAGAGAGAGAGAGCAGGUUGGGACUAUUUUAUAGGCCACGUGGAGGAUGCCAAUGAGCACUUAGUCAAGGAGUUCUACACCAAUAUAGCCCACAUCAAAAAGGGCACUACAAUGGCUAAGGUGCGAAAUCUAAAAAUAAAGUUUGAUGGAAAAACGAUCAAUGACUACCUGGGCUUCCUAGAGGAGGAUGAGACAUUGUACUUAGAGAAAGUAGCUUUGGGUGAGGAUGCUCGUCCGUGGUUAGCAGAGUACUUGGCAAUCCCAAGUACCACCCCAGCAUGGUUAACAACAGGAGUAAAAAUUUUGAGGAGAACCCUGAACUUCGAAGCAAAAGGGUGGGAGACAUUUGUAUGGAGCAGGCUAGACCCCACCACUAAUGAGAACUCUCUUCCUAUCUCCUGGACAAUUCCAGUAGCUUCUAUCAUGGCGGGGUACGCGAUCAACAACGGGAAUAUGAUGUCGAGGGUGAUCACACGGGUGGUCAAUGAAGGUGAUAGAUCAUACCCCUUCCCAAAUUUCUUGUCCAUGUACUUUGAGGAUCAGGAUGUAGAAAAAAGGAGAUUCGAUGUGAAGAUGAAGCCAAAGGCCCCCUUUUCCGGGUACAACCUACAGGGUGAUGGCAACCCCAAAGGCAAAGAUUCGAAAGGCAAAUCCAUUGCUUCUACUAGCCAGUCUGAAGAGUCAGUAGUAGUAGUGGCUCCUACGUAGCCUCUUUCAGCCAUCCCGCACAUGACCUCAGGACCCUCCACUUAUAUAGUUCUAGAUAUCCCCUCAUCCGCAACAUACCCUUUGACUGCCACCGCUUGAGCCAGACCCUUGCCAUUAUCAACAACUGGAUGUAGGCAGCCACUUCUAAGUUGUCUGUACUUUUACCUCGGUGGCAGUCCAGUCGGUACCCCCUCAGCCGCAGGUCCCACAGUCAGUGGAAGACACUCUCAAGGAGCUUUUGGAAAACCAGAAGAAGCUCCUAGAGAACCAGCAAUUAAUAUUGGAUGCUGUGGGUUCUCAUGGCAAAACAUUAAACUAGUUGACCAAAGAAACAAAGAAAUUGAGAAAGACUCGGGCAUCCAAGGAGUCGGUGAAAGAGAUGAGGGUGGAGGUGGAGAAAUUGAAGGCUGGUCACUUGCCUUUAGACCUUUUAUUGCAUGACUCGGCUCCAGCAGCCCAACCAGAGCAGGAGAAGGAGACAACGAGGCCAGCAAAGAGGAAGAGGGUGAUUCCCCAUGCUGAUGAUGCUGUGAUAGAGUUAGAGGAUUUGCAGGGAGGAUCCUCUAGCCAGCCUCAGGCCCCAAUGCAGGCCCAGAACCCAGUACAGGUCCUAGUGGAGACACAGGUUAUAGGGAGCCAGUCACAGGUUCCUGAGCAUUCCGAGGACCCAGGGACCCAGACUCAUGAUCCUAUACAGACGGAGGGCCAAUAGGGAGCUUCUUUUUACUCUCUAUAUUUUAUUUUGAGCUAUUUUUGGUUAGAUAGCAUUGAAGACAAUGCUAGCACUCAUUUGGGGGGGGGGGGGGUAGGCCCUAUUUUGGAUGAUUUGGGUUGUAUAUAUGACAUUACUUUCUUUUUAUUAUGCUUUCUUUUUACUUUUGGUAUGUACAUAAUUUUACCAUUUUAGUUCACUUUUUGUACUUUGCAACUUUGGUCUGUAUAUAAAGCUACUUUCUGAUGUAUAUAUUCAUUCCCCCUUAUGUUUAUUCAUCUAAAUCCCCUCUUGUACAUAUUCAUUCUACUUUCCGCAUUUUUUCUUUCAUAGCUUCUUAUUUCAUUUUGAUAGCUUCUUAUUUUGAGUUUUGCGUUCAAUAAGCCUUUGGUUUUCUUAAUGCCACGGUUCUUUCCAAAGGUGGAAUUUGUGUGAACCGGUUGGUUCUUCCCGAUGAUGGAUGGCAUGACAACCUUCUUAAGGGUUUGAGUCUGUUUUCUUUUGCUUUUUGUGUAAAUAAUAGCUAUUUAGUAAGGGUGCCUCAAGCAAAGCUUCACUUGGGUCUAACACAUUUUCCUUUGAUCCUAUGGUCAAUAACAAAUUGUUGUGUAUAGGAUGGUAAAAGUUGUGACCUUGAGACUCUUGUAUUGGCCGAUAAUCAUCAAGUGGUUUUUCGGGACCAUUCAUUUUGCUCAAAUCUUAGCUAAGGUUGUUAUGGGCCCCCGACUGUCUCUUUAGGAAUCCUAUAGCUUGUGUGGUGAGAAUUUGAAGUGCAAGUCCAAGUCCUGAGCCAUUAGUCUAGAACUUGCCAUGAAUGUUUGUCUAGGAGAAAUUCUAAGUGUAGUUUGACUUGAGAUAUGAUUAUAGGCUCUCCUUGAUCCAAAUUAUGUCUUGAAAACUUCCAUAGCCUACCAAUGAUAAUAUCCCUAGUCAACCCUUUUGAGCCAUAGACCUUUUUCUUUCAAAAAACUACGAUACAAGCCAUUACCCGUUCUAAAAAUACCCUCUCUUAGCACCCGAUCUUUCCUUAGCACGAGGCAAAUGUAUAAGGUUGGGGGGAGGGACGAGGAAUAAAAUAAAGUGGUAAAAAAGGUACAAAAUGAAGAAAAAGAAAAAUCAAUGAAAAAGAAAGAAAAUCAAAAAGUCAAAAAGAAUGCUCAAUGUAGAAAAAUGAAGGGAUUCAAUAAAAGUAAAGAGAUGAAAGGUGUGGAAAGUUGAGAAAGGAGAAAAAUGUUUAAUAUGAACAAGAAAGAGUGACAGUGUGUCUCUCUAACCCCUAAGAAAGAAGUUAAUGACUCAAAAAGUCAAGAUAAUGUGUGCCAAAAUAAAACAAAUGAAGUGCUUAAGGGAAGAUGGAACCCACCUAGACCAAAUAUUUCCUACCCUAAACCAAAAUCCUUCACUAUAUCUCCACAAAACCCCUAUAUGAUCUUGAGUUGAAUGAAGCAUACAUUAGUGGUGACUCACAAAAGUGGCAAGCUUAUGGUACUUAGAGCCGGACUUGUGACCUUUCUUUGAGAGAGAUGAGUGUAUUUUUCACAAUUCCUAGUUCUGAGUGCUACAAUCUAAAAGUGAGGGUUGCUUAGGGAAAGUUUAGGAGUAUGAGUUUGGGUUCCACAAUGACCAAAGUAGUAGAAAGAGUUUCUUUGAUGGGUUGAGUCAACUCUUGAUGCUCUUGUGUCGCACUAAAACCAUGGUGCUUCGAAGGUCGAAUGUUGUUAAGGAUACAUUUGAAUUGAGGGCAAUUGUUAGUCCCAAUUGAUGCUAGAUGAGGUCACUUUAGGUCAAGUGAAUUUGCUUGGAUUUACUAUUAAUAGGUGGGUCUUAUUUUGUUUGCUUGAGGACAAGCAAAAGAUUAAGUUUGGGGGAGUUUAUAACUAGGGAUUCUAGUUCAUUUUACACUCCUUUUUACUUGAGUUUUUUGGUUAAACUAAAAUAUUUUAUUUAACCAAGUAUAUCAAUAUGUACAAAGGACUCAUUGGACUUAUGAGUCAGCUCUUAGUAAUCUCUAUAAUUAUUCUAAUUAUUCCUUAUCUAGCUAACUUCUAUAACUAUUAUCAAUAACUAGUGAUAACAUGAUUAACUCUUUAACAUCUAUACUGGGUAACUGUUCAGGCCAUCCAAUUGUUGCUGCCAUUUGACAUUCUUCUGACCAUAUAUAUGUAGUUGCAUUGUAAUCUCCUUGAUCAUCUGCCUGCUUUCUCGUCUCUGAUUUAUGAAUCUUCUUGCAUUCCUCUCAGCCCAUAUGUGGUAUAUCUUGCUGCAAAUAAGAAACCAAUGAUACCUUCUCUUGCUCGAAAGUUAUUAGUUCUCUUGCAUGCCCACAUGGCCUCAUCAUCCCAUCCUUUGACUGGUCUUUUCUCCCCUAACCAGUGUAGCAACGAGAUCCAUAUACGCUUUGAAUAAUCGCAACAGAAGAAUAGAUGCUCCAAUGUCUUUACUGCAUUUGUGUUACAUAGAACACAGUCUUGCAUCACUUUAAUUUCCCAUUUCUGUAGUCUGUCCACUGUUGAUAACUUUUUAUGAACUAUCAGCCAUAGAAUAAACUGAUGCCUAGGAAUAAUUCUUUUCACUAGGGCCAAAUUUUUCCAUGAAACCUUUGGAGAUGUAGGUAUAAAGGAUUGAUAGGCCUUCUUGAUGCUGAACUUCUCUCUAUCUUCAAAUGAUUCAAGGCUAUCCAUCACAUUCCCAGAUUGAGUCAACCAUUUCUUUGCAUCAAAUAUCUUCCUCACUAACCAGCAGGCUUGGCUUGGGGAUGGCAUAUUGUUCAGCUCCUUGCCCUUUAUGUAUAUACUAUGGAUUCAUUGAACCCACAGUUUGUCCUUCUUUUUACCCACUGCCCACUAUUAAGGCUCUUCUUGAGUAUUCAUUACUCCAGUCCACAAGAAAUUCCUGCAUACAUUUGUCACCAUAGUCAAAAUCUUCUUAGGCAAUAGGAACACUUGGGCCCAAUAUGUCUGCAUCUCGAAUAGGAACUUAGUGGUCCAAAAUUGAAUUCUAGAAAUUAUCUUUUCAACCAAGGGUAGACACUGAUGGAUAGAAAGUUUCCUUGAAUACAAUGGAAUACCUAAGUAUUUGAAUGGCAUCUCCCUAAUAGUGAAAUGCAUAUCUUGCAUUAUCUGAGCUUUAAACUCUUGUGUCACUCCUGCAGUAUAGAAUGAACUCUUCUCCAGAUUGUCCUUCAGUCUAGAAACACUAGAAAAGUGCUCAAAUUCUUGCAUCAUGAGUAGAAUAGAAACCCUGUCUGCCCUGCAACACAUCAUUAAAUCAUCCGCAAAGCAAAUAUGAACUAUUUCCUUUUUUGCACAUCUUGGGUGAUAGUUAAAAUCAAGGUUGUUCCUUAGUUGCUUGAAGGAUCUAUUUAUGUACUCCAUAUCUAUGACAAAUAGAUAUGGGGACAUGGAGUCCCCUUGUCUCAACCCUCUCUUAGCAUGAAAUAUAGAAGUUAGACCACCAUUUAGAAGCAAUGAAUAGCUGACUGCAAAAACACAAUUCAUGAUCAAAUUGACCAGCUUCUGAGGAAAUCCAAAUUCCAUCCGCACUUACCUCAGGAAAUCCCAAUUCAGAGAAUCAUAUGCUUUUUUGAUAUCUACUUUUACUAGGCAUCUAGGAGAUACUCAUUUUUUCCAUAGCCCUUCACUAACUCAUGGGCUACAAUCACAUUGUCCAGAAUAUUUCGACAUUCAAUGAAUGCAGAUCGAGAUGGACCUACCAGGUAAUCAACCAUGGGUUUUAUUUUUAUAGUUAGCACCUUUUCAACAAUCUUAUAGACAGUACUACAACAGCUAUAGGUCUGAAAUCUUUAGCAUAAGAUGGACAAGAAACCUUAGGAACCAAGGUAUUGUGGUAUAGUUUACCUCCCUUUACAGUUUGCCAUUGUCAAAAAAUUGUAAGAUGGGCUUAAUCAUGUCUUCUCCUACUGUCUCCCACUGUGCUUUGAAGAAUUCAGCUGUAAAUCCAUCUAUACUAGCGGCUUUAUCAUUUGAAAGGUCUUUAACAGCUUGGAUUAUAUCUUCUCUAGUAUCUGGUUUUAGUAAUUCCUGUUGCUGGAUCAAUGAAAGGCAUGAACCAUCUCUAGCAAUAUUAGUAUCAAUAUAAGGCAUUAGUGACACAACAUCUCCCAGCAACUGCUUAUAAUAUUCCAAAAAUUGUUGUUGCACCAAAUCUAGCUCUGAGAGAGGACUCCUUGAUCAUUGAAAAUAGAAGAUAUCUUGUUCCUGGCUUGUCUUGCUUUCAGUUGUGCAUGAAAAUACUUGGUGUUGGCAUAUCCAUAUGAUAUCCAUAUCGCUCUAGACUUCUGCCUUAGUAUUUGCUCUUGAAUUCCCAUCCACUUUUCUAACUGAGUAAGUAGUUCUUUCUUUUCAGCUAUUAACUGAUUAUUGAACAUGUCAUUGGCCAUUUGGUUCUGCACUUCCUGCACCUUCUGUUGUAAGUUUUCAACUCUAAUCUCUAUGGUAGACAUCUCUUUGUUCAUCACCCUUGUUUCACUUUGCAAUGCCUUAAGCUUCAUCAAUAGUCUAUACAUAUGGCAUCUAGUGAUGUUUUGAUCCCAACAUUGUUUUACAGCUUCCUUAAAUGAGUCCUACUUGAUUAGUACAUUGAGGAGUCUGAAAGGUCUUUUCAACUUUUGUCGAGGGAUCAAUGUUCUAAUAACAAUGGGAGUAUGAUCUGAGCAUUCUGGAUUAUAGUGAAUAGCCUCCAGAUUUCUAUAUACUUGAAACCACUUAUCAUUACCCAUCACCCAGUCAAUAUAGCUAUAAAUUCUAUCAUCUCCAUCUCUCUUAUUACACCAUGAGUAUUUCCAACCUUUUCUAUUAACUUGGCCCAGUCCAAUAUCAGUAACAAAAGAUUGAAAUUCAACUAUUUCAUUUACAUGUACUGGCAGCCCAUCUAUCUUCUGUGGAGAGAAUAGCAUUGAAAUCACCAAGAAUAAUCCAAGGCUCAAUAGUAUAAGUGCUAAUGUGCCUUAGUUCUUCCCAUAGUACCCUUCUGCCCACUGCAAUAUUGUACCCAAAUACAAAGGGCAUCUUGCAUUUGAACUGAGAGUUCUUAUCUUCAACAGAGCAGUGUACCACCUGUGGGGUACUUUUCAAAAUAGUAACAGUUACACAGCUUUAUCUCCAGCAUAGCAAUAUUCUACCAUUUGGGACUUGAGUAUUAUCAUAAUGAAACCUCCAAUCUGUAUGAAAUUUUCUAGUAUUUGUUUUGGCAUAUUUUUGUCUAACUUUUGUUUCUAGACGUCCUAUUAAGUAAAUUUUAUUCUUGAGCAAAACGUUUUUGAAUUCUUUUUGCUUAAAGAGCUUGUUUAUCCCCUAAUAUUCCAUGAUCAGAAAAUCAAGGGGGAGGUUGGGAAAUCGGACCAUCCCUCUGCAACUUUCCAGUAUUACCUUUUCUGCUCCCCUUAAUUCUUCUACUUGCAGGUUCUCCAUCUUUAAGUAUAGCUUACUGAAUUGAUUGAGAUCUAAUUCAUUAUCUGACUCUUCAUCUGUCUGUGGGAUCUCCUUACUUCCUUGAAACACUACCACUUUCUUCCCUCUAAAUUGAACUUGGGAAGGGGCAGUGUGAGUAUCACUGUUGUAGGAGUGUGAACUUGGGAAGGGGCAGUUUGAGUUUCCUCCUAGUAUAUCACUGUUGUAGGAGCUGUUGGUUUUUCUAUCUUAGCUUUUGGUUUAGGCUUCCAUACUUUCCUAGUGUGUUUAUCUUGAUUGGGAUUCUUGAUAAAGCCUUGUCGUCUGUGCUUCUAUUUUGGACAAUUCUUCUUUUGGUGUCCAACCUGCAUACACUCUUGACAUAGAGCAGGAUUCCAUUCAUACUCAAUCUUUUGGCUCCAAAUACCACCAUCUGGGACUUCAACAUUAACAUAUUUAGGUAAUAUUUGGGUGAUAUCCAUCUCAAUUAGAACUCUUGCAUAAGAUAUCCUUUCACCUUUAGCUGUUAGAACAUCAGUGCACAUAGGUUUACCUAGGAAGCUAGCAAUUCUCCCUAGGUUUUGUUCAGACCAAUAUAGGAGUGGCAAUCUAGGGAAACACACCCAUAUUGGUAAUAUACACAUUGCUUCCUUAUGCAACUGAAAUUCUGGACUCCAUUGUUUCAGAAUCAUUGGCCUAUUCCUAAAUGUGUAAGGCCCAUUUUGUAUUAUGCAGGCUUUGUCCUCUUCAGAUUCAAAUUGAAAAAAGUAGUACCCAUCAUCAUGCAGAAAGACCCUAGGUGUGUUCACAAAAUGCCAAACCCCAUAUACAAACUAAAGCAUUUCCUUGAAUUUGGGGUUCAUCCAAACACAUACCCAAUAAGCGCACAUUGCCACUUCUAUUUUUGUUUAUCAAUCUCCUGCUUAUUCAAUUGCACAACCUUGAUCCCAUCUUUCAUCACUGGAGGAUAGAAUUUGAUUUUCAUACCUUGAUUUUGUGUUCGAUUAUUCUUCACCACUUCUGCCAGUGCUGGCAUUGCAUGUGGCGUCUCUGUUGCAAAGGUCAAUUUCCGGGCAGGUUGGGUAUGAACUUCUUUUCCAUUUUUAACUUGCUGGGUUCCCUUUUGUCAGCCUAACUCUAGGUCCUUACUAACUAGCUAGCCAGCUAUGUUGGGGCCAGAUUUUGCUGUACCCCUGAAGCUGGAGUGAUUUGCCUCACUGAUUUGUCAGAUUCUGAUUUUUGGAUCGAUUCCUCUGUUGGCUGAACUUUAGGGUUCAACUCUUGUAACUUUCCAUGAGAAGAUGCUAUUUGUGUAUCCUUCUCUUCUGUCUCCUGGGGAGGGCGUUGAAUCUGAGUGGGUUUUGGAUUAGUAAUUUUUUUAGUAGUGGUUGGGGUAUAAACUUAAAGGGCUCUCCUUUUCCGACGAGCCAUGGUGGUGGUGCACGUUAGCAGACCUUGCUUAACAUACACCUGUGGACUUUCUAUCUCCUCUCUCUAAACCCCUUCCCCUCUCAAACAGAGAUCUAAGCGUACGUUCUUUUUUUUUUACUUGAGGUUUGAUUAAAAAUGUAUACAAAAUAGUCCCAAAGGCUUACAUAUUGUACCUGUUUGCAGGGUUUGGUAAAAAAGGUGACAAUUAGUCAAAACUUGCUCAAAAAGGAAUGAAACACACAAGUACCAAGAACAAGUCCAAGCAUAAUUAAAACAGAUCCACUACGGCCGCAAUCCAUCUAGUACAGUCCAUGGUGAGGAGAUGUAGAGAGGUGCAGUUUUUGGUAACUCAAGCACUGCGGCCGC
RNAcentral lists this long non-coding RNA (16167 nucleotides) under Nicotiana tabacum (common tobacco). RNAcentral's name for it is "long non-coding RNA (NTAB_LNC003972)". Lineage: Eukaryota; Viridiplantae; Streptophyta; Magnoliopsida; Solanales; Solanaceae. The record is from RNAcentral.